Molecule: ribosomal RNA, 298 nt
Filed under: uncultured bacterium
Lineage: Bacteria
Description: partial 16S ribosomal RNA
Rfam family: Bacterial small subunit ribosomal RNA
Source: RNAcentral
GGAUUAGAUACCCUGGUAGUCCACGCCGUAAACGAUGCACACUAGGUCGGUGCGGUUUAGACGCCGUGCCGGCCGGAGAGAAAUUUUUAAGUGUGCCGCCUGGGGAGUACGGUCGCAAGGCUAAAACUCAAAGGAAUUGACGGGGGCUCACACAAGCGGUGGAGCAUGUUGCUUAAUUCGAAGCAACGCGAAGAACCUUACCUGGGCUUGACAUGCACGGAUUAGCUCUUGGAAACAUGAGUAACGCCCUCGGGUGGAACGUGCACAGGUGCUGCAUGGCUGUCGUCAGCUCGUGUCG